CACGUAGGCACCAAGCGUUGUCCGGAUUUAUUGGGCGUAAAGAGCUCGUAGGCGGUUCGGUAAGUCGGGUGUGAAAACUUUGGGCUCAACCCAAAGCCUGCACUCGAUACUGCUGUGACUUGAGUCCGGUAGGGGAGUGGGGAAUUCCUGGUGUAGCGGUGGAAUGCGCAGAUAUCAGGAGGAACACCGGUGGCGAAGGCGCCACUCUGGGCCGGUACUGACGCUGAGGAGCGAAAGCCAGGGGAGCAAACGGG
Molecule: ribosomal RNA, 254 nt
Filed under: uncultured bacterium
Lineage: Bacteria
Description: partial 16S ribosomal RNA
Rfam family: Bacterial small subunit ribosomal RNA
Source: RNAcentral